RNAcentral lists this long non-coding RNA (525 nucleotides) under Zea mays. RNAcentral describes it as "drought responsive lncRNA". Lineage: Eukaryota; Viridiplantae; Streptophyta; Magnoliopsida; Poales; Poaceae. The record is from RNAcentral.
CCGGCACGCAAUUAACAAUAACCUUUAGUUUCGCCCGUGAACAGUAGAAGACAACCAGUUAAAUAGGAGUAGAGCCCAGCACGACUUUACAAUCUGAUAGCUAUCACGCGCCGCCACCAAAAUUACAAGCAGCUUCGAGUUAGAGAUGCCUGGUUAAACGAUCGUCAGAUUGACAAAAUUUCGAAAGGAAACAAAUCACAAAAGGAAAAUCCAAAACGAGAGACAGCGGCCUGCUACUGGUACCCGGCGUCGUAACCUCACGGCCUGCUGCUGGUACCUGCUGCCGUCUUCUUCUUCUGCGGCCUCACGGCCUGCUGCUGGUACCCGUAGCUGGCGGCCUGCGGUGGCGGGUAGCCGUACCCGUACCCGGCCUGCUGCGGCGGCGGGGGCAGUAGCCGUACCCCGGCGGCGGGUAACCGUAGCCGCCGUACUGCGGCGGAGGAGCAGCGUAGGGCGCCACCGUGCUGGGACCGGCCGAACCCCUUGGCUGGCUUGCCUGCCGCGGGUGGGUAGCCAGAUGAGGGC